This 466-nucleotide ribosomal RNA is filed under the name uncultured bacterium. Its description in RNAcentral is "partial 16S ribosomal RNA". It matches the Rfam family "Bacterial small subunit ribosomal RNA", at positions 28 to 507 of the family's 1533-position model. The record is from RNAcentral.
GAUGAACGCUGGCGGCGUGCUUAACACAUGCAAGUCGAACGAUGAAGCCCAUCUUGCUGGGUGGGUUAGUGGCGAACGGGUGAGUAACACGUGAGUAACCUGCCCUUAACUCUGGGAUAAGCCGGGGAAACUGGGUCUAAUACCGGAUAGGAGCGUCCACCGCAUGGUGGGUGUUGGAAAGAUUUAGCGGUUUUGGAUGGACUCGCGGCCUAUCAGCUUGUUGGUGAGGUAAUGGCUCACCAAGGCGACGACGGGUAGCCGGCCUGAGAGGGUGACCGGCCACACUGGGACUGAGACACGGCCCAGACUCCUACGGGAGGCAGCAGUGGGGAAUAUUGCACAAUGGGCGAAAGCCUGAUGCAGCGACGCCGCGUGAGGGAUGACGGCCUUCGGGUUGUAAACCUCUUUCAGUAGGGAAGAAGCGAAAGUGACGGUACCUGCAGAAGAAGCACCGGCUAACUACGUG